UUCUACUCACCUCAAAGUCACAGUCAAACCGCUUCCAUUGUGCACUGACAAAGUUCCUGACACACUGUCAAAAUCAUGCAAUUUACUUGUCUGCACAUGUGUGUGCACAUACACAAAUCUGCGUCACAUGAGUCCUUGGGAUUUAGGUUAACUCCUUACUACCUGUUCAUUGUGUUUAGGUAAAUCAGAACAUACUAUGAAAACUACCUAGUUUUUAAAAUUGGGAUAUCUCCCCAGGUUAAUCUCUUGGCUUUUGGAGUUAUCAUAUACAAAGUGUUCCGCCACACUGCUGGACUGAAGCCAGAAGUUAGUUGCUACGAGAACAUAAGGUCUUGCGCCAGAGGAGCCCUGGCCCUCCUCUUCCUUCUGGGUACCACCUGGACCUUUGGGGUUCUCCACGUAGUGCAUGCAUCUGUUGUGACAGCCUACCUCUUCACAGUCAGCAACGCUUUCCAAGGGAUGUUCAUUUUCUUAUUCCUAUGUGUUUUAUCUAGAAAGAUUCAAGAAGAAUAUUAUAGAUUGUUCAAAAAUGUCCCCUGCUGUUUUGAAUGUUUAAGAUAAACAACGAGAAGCCGCGAUAAUUAUAGCUGGAAUGAAAUGGAAAUUCCAAGAUUUCGGAUGGCCUGUGUGACAAAAAUGAGCCUGCCUUCAUUGUUAGUAAUUAAUUUCAAAUUCGCUUUUCUGUUCGCAGUAUAAAAGAUGUAGUUAAUGUGAGAUAAAAUUAUGGGCCAGAGAGCUCCGGUGUGUUUUCCUACAUGACAUAGUUAGAUAUGUCAAAAAUAGUACUGCAGAUAUUUGGAAAGUAAUUGGUUUCUCUGGAGUGAUAUCACUGUGCCCAAGGAAAGAUUUCUUUCUAACACAAGAAAUAGAUGAAUGUCCUCAAGGAAGAGACUGGCUUGAUAUCUUUGUGACUCAUGUUGCCUUUCAAACGAGUCCCCUACCACCAUAGUAAUGAGUUCCUUUGCAGAAAGGAGAGUAUAAGAAACUUGGAGGGGCAGAAUAUGAAGCAAUGGAGAAGCCUUCUCUGACAAGGAAUUGUCAUUCCAAUAAAAUUGGCUUUCUCCAAACUUGAAGAGGAAAAAUUUUCAGGCUAAAAUAACGAAAAAGGAAAUACAUCCUAGCACUUUGGGAAUUGGUCUGAACUUAAAAGCCCCAGACCUAAAUUUGCUACAUCCAUGUUCUUCCUUACUGUUCUAAAACCAAAGAAAAACCUUAAAAUUUACAGAUACAUAGAUGAGUGUUCUCACAUAACAUCAUAUUUGAAUGUAAAAUUUUUUCAUUCCUCACAGAUUAAGACUUCAGCAACAUAGUCGGUAAAACAUAAAUUUGUCAAACUAUAAUGCUGUUCAUAUCUUUAGUGAAAAAAUAGAAUGUGAAGUAUUUUGUCUGUAAUAUUUUAAUGUUAUGAAAAUAAUCUUUUCAUAUUAGAGCAGUAUACUUGAAUACUUUACUGUUUUUAAUCUUACAAAUAGUGUGUUUCAUGUUGCAACCGGCCCUUUUAAUUGACUGUAUUUAAAGGGGCAUUAUAAAUUUAAACUAUUGAUGAAGUAAAUUAUAGUGGUUUUCUGAUCAGAAAAUACAUACUUAAAGCAUUAUUUAUAACAAAUAAAAAGUCACUGAGCACUGCAGGGGUUUCACAGUGGAUCUGAUAUUUUAGACCGUUUCCUAUCACCUAUCAGUCUAUUUGCUUAAAUAUAUAGCUCUACCGAUUCUCUUACUCAAAGGAAGAGGCAGCAUGUUUUUCAGAAGUGAGUCAUUGUUCUGUACCUUCCUGGAGACAUGAUUCGAUCCAUUGGACGUUGCGGUUUUAAUUCUUGUGCUGUUGAAUGAAGCCUGACAAGACACUUCCUAAAAAAAAAAAUGAAAUGUCAGCUGGAUGAAGCAGCCCUGCUACUGCCUGACUGAGUUGUUCUCUCAGGAAAGACCACUCACCUGCCAAGAAGCACGUUGUGUCUCUACAGAUCUCAGGGUUUCUCCUAUGCCAAGUCUGUGGCCCAUGAGCAUCAUUGUCAUUCUAGGAUGGGACUGUAGAAAUAGGAUAUCAAAACCUAAUCCGUUCAAUCAAUGGAUAAGAAACUAUCACAUGUAGUAGACAGAAUAACCCUUCUCAAAUAUUCAUACACUCCUCUUUGCAAGCUGUGGCCGUGGUGGAUGGUGAGGAGCAGGAGUGUCCUGUCAGGAGGAAGAGUAGCUGAGGUCCACUCAGUUGGAGAAGGCUCUCACUGAGCUGGGGGAAGUCAGCAUGCUGACGAUGUUAUUUUUGUUUGGGUCUCUUGUUUUGGACAUCUCAUUUCUAGAGCUGUAAAGACAAUAAAAUUCUAUUAUCAAAGCCACUAAA
Molecule: long non-coding RNA, 2338 nt
Organism: Rattus rattus (black rat)
Lineage: Eukaryota; Metazoa; Chordata; Mammalia; Rodentia; Muridae
Exons: 3
Source: RefSeq, a predicted model, not a curated record